Molecule: long non-coding RNA, 455 nt
Filed under: Homo sapiens (human)
Lineage: Eukaryota; Metazoa; Chordata; Mammalia; Primates; Hominidae
Description: HSALNT0369086
Source: RNAcentral
UUCAAAUGGCCUGGCAGGAAGUGCUCUAGCAGAGGGACUCUGGCCUUGCAAGAGUCCCUAUUUCCCCCUUUUUUUUUGCUUUUCACACAGUAAAACCCUGCUUUACUUCCCUUUGAGUCGUCUGUGAGCCUAAAUUUUUGUGGCUGUGGGAAGGACAAGAACCCCAUCUUUAGCUGAAAUAAGGAAAAGUUCCGCAACAUUUUUGGCACACACCCUGGGGGCUCCGGAAGUGAAAGUUCCCAGGAGAUGAAGACAUUGAAACUGCCAUCAUAAAAUUAAUAAAAGGUUCAAGAUUAGAAUUAUGGUAUUGGCCUGGAUUUUGUUAAGACAGAGACAUAGGAUUAUGUUGGCUCGGAGAAUGAUACCUCAAAGGCUGGUGCUGAGAGUUCUUAGAAGCUGCUUCAGAAUCAAGUUGUCUUCUCCUCAUAGUCCUCCACUAAAGCCUGAACAACAAG